This 1131-nucleotide long non-coding RNA is filed under the name Mytilus galloprovincialis (Mediterranean mussel). Lineage: Eukaryota; Metazoa; Mollusca; Bivalvia; Mytilida; Mytilidae. The record is from RNAcentral.
AAAAAAAAAUCAUGAAAUCGUUUCCAUCGCUGAGUACGAGAAAUUACCGACCGAAGUCCUGAAAAUCGCUCAAAUCUGCAAAUUACACAAUGAAAAAUACGAGCUUUUCUGUAGAAAACACGACUGUCCGUGCUGUAAGAAAUGUGUGAAAUCUCACAACGAUUGUAAGGGUUUAACCGAUAUUAAUGAAAUCACAAAAAAUGUAAAACCUUCAAACGCCUUUUAUGAAAUCGAACAAACCCUGCUUGAAGUCACCGAGAAUUUUAAACAACUCAGCGAUAACCGGAAAGAAAAUUUGAACUCGCUUCGAGACAAGAAAAGAGAAAUUGAAGCCGCAAUAACAAGAACCAGAAUCAAAAUAAACGACCAUCUUGAUAAACUUCAGGAUGAUUUUAUGAAAGAAUUAAUGGCAGUUGAACAAAAAGAAAGCAGCAAAAUACAAAAAUUAUUGACUACCCUGAUAAAGAAGGAAAAAGAAAUCAGUGAGGUACAAGAAAACAUUGCUAGUAUUAAACAGCAUGCGUCCGAGCUUCAAACAUUUUUAUCAAUGAAAGACAUCGAAAAAGAUAUCGCAGUGGGAGAACAAUUUAUUCAAACCAUUACCACAAGUGACACAACUAAUCAAGUCAAUAUUUCAUGUCAAAAUAACAAGGCUUUACAGGAAAUCACUGCCAGCGUGCAGACGUUCGGGGAAAUAAAUGUCAGUUCUGAUCCAUGUGAUUAUACCAUUCAGAGACGGAAGGACAGAGAAGCCCAGAUUAUGGUAUCACCGUCAACCAGAAAUAUCGACAACCUUACUUUGACAUUACAGAAACGUAUCGAUACAGGAUUGUCAGACGUCCGAGGUUGUUCCCUGCUUCCUGGUGGUAGGAUGGUAUUCUCCUGUCAUGAGCAAGAUAAAAUAAGAGUAAUCAAAUUAGACGGAUCAAUAGAUUUCGAAAUCAGUAAGAUUGGUGUUACGUUUGAUGUGGUAUUUAUCGGUGAUGAUGAUAUUGCUGUUACAUCUGGUAGUUCAGAAACAAUUAAUAUAAUCGACUUAAAGAAACAAAAACUGAAGAAAUCAAUAAAAGUAAAGUCAUUCAACGAUGGAGUAGUAUACAAAGACGGAUAUUUGAUUUAUUGUGCCAGGGA